AUCAGCACUGCACAUAGGCCUUUCACCAUGAAGUUGUGUCUGAACUGGGUUUUCUUUGUAACUCUUUUAAAUGGCAUUCAAUGUGAGGUGAAGCUGGUGGAGUCUGGUGGAGGCUUGGUACAGCCUGGGAAUUUUCUGAGACUCUCCUGUGCAGCCUCUGGAUUCACCUUCACUGAUUUCCACAUGAACAGGUUGUGCCAGUCUCCAGGGAAGGGACUGGAGUGGGUUGCUCUGAGUAGAAACAAAGCUAACAGUUACACCACAGAGUACAGUGCAUCUGUGAAGGGUCAGUUCAGCAUCUCCAGAGACAAUUCCCAAAGCAUGUCCUACCUUCAAAUGAACAAUCUGAGAGCUGAGGACACUGCCACUUACUACUGUACAAGAGAUGGACACACAAUGAGGGGACUGCAGUUUGAGCCCAGACAGAAACCUCCUUGCAGCGGUACUCAGCACCAAAAGGGGGCGCUCAAGGUAGGAGAACAAGAAUGCAUUCCUGACAGUGUCUCCUGCCUUUGA
Molecule: non-coding RNA, 516 nt
Organism: Acomys russatus (golden spiny mouse)
Lineage: Eukaryota; Metazoa; Chordata; Mammalia; Rodentia; Muridae
Source: the annotation of a RefSeq genome assembly